GUAAGCCAUUCCAUCAAAUGAACAGGAAGCAAAGGUCCUAAUGUGUGAAAAAACAAUAGUCAUGUUCCAGCAGUACCACAAGCUUCAGCGAUGAGAACAGAGAACAUCCAAUGUAGAAUACCCAAUUACACCAGUCUAGAUUCAGUUGUUAAACACUUGAGCAAAAGUCCUAUGUUUCUUGGUCUUUAAUACAAAAUCGAAUACAGAUAUCCAAAUUUGCAUAAAUUUCCACUGAACCAAUAUGUUAAAGUGACAUACACAAGUUCAACAAGACUUAUCCCGCACAAGUUUUACAGAGUAAAGCAAUAUCAACCAUCCAGCCCCAUAGCAAAAAAGUUGCACAAGAGCAUUUUCCUACUAUGUUAAAAUUGCACUAUUAAUGAAUGCUACAAUCAUCUAAAACACAUAUAAAUAAGCUACAAUUUUCAUCAAUAAGAUCGGUCAUUGAUCAAUAACUUUUUAUAUGUAAUUGUUGCAUGCAAGUGUAGUGUCCCUUCAUUCCAUUCAAAAUUGAUGUACUAUGCCUAUCCAUCUUUUUGCAAGCACUGUUUGCGGAUGGUCAAAGCUCAACUACAGAAGGCAUAGAGGCCAAUCA
RNAcentral lists this unclassified non-coding RNA (595 nucleotides) under Hevea brasiliensis (rubber tree). Lineage: Eukaryota; Viridiplantae; Streptophyta; Magnoliopsida; Malpighiales; Euphorbiaceae. The record is from RNAcentral.